Long non-coding RNA from Mytilus californianus (California mussel), 1595 nucleotides. RefSeq lists it as uncharacterized. The transcript is spliced from 3 exons. Lineage: Eukaryota; Metazoa; Mollusca; Bivalvia; Mytilida; Mytilidae. The record is from RefSeq and is a predicted model, not a curated record.
AAACGAUAUUUGAAGGUAGUAAAACGCUGAGGAAUGCUGACCAUGCUUGACAAUUGGAUACAAGCAGUGGUAGUUUUACUGAUCGUGAUAGUGUAUCUUUGUUUAAAAGAUACAUUAAUCAUUCGUCACUUCCGCGAUUGUCUCAGAUGGUUGGAGAGUGUGGAGACAUUAGUUAAAAAUACUGGUUAUUUGAUAAAGGGUAUUUUUAGUUUAACAGGUAACUAGAGAGAAGAUAUUGCAGGAAUGCAAAGAGUAAUGACUCCGAAAAUGACGAUAAACUUUUAUAUACAUAUUGUAACGGAUUUCGUCCUCAUUGUUCAGCAGUAUGUGUCCCCUCCCCCCUUUUUAUUUUUUAUCAACAGUUAAAUCUCCGUGUAACCGCAUUGAAAACCUUAUAAAUUGUUGAAUAUGUUUCUUUUCAUUUAAAUAAGUUAUCUCAGAUAUUUAGAACUUACUAUUAUUGUUUUAUAAACAGUAACUUGAGCAAAGAUAAAAAUAACGUCAAGUCCCAUCUGAAACUGAGUCACUUUUCCAUUUAUUUUUUUGUAAAGUGUAAAUACGGGAUUUCCUUAUUCUUGACCUACCUUUAUGUAUUUGUUGAUGAUUGUAUUAUGUUGUUUUAAUCUCUAUGUAUAUUUAUAUUCAGUGAAUUAGUUAACCUGGUCAAGUUUCUAGAGACUCAGAGUCUCUCUUUUUCCUUGUAAUAUCCGCCAUGUUUACUUGAGUCGCUUACCGUAAACUGUCAAAGUGCACUGUCGUGAACGGCGAUAUUACGUUGAAAUAGAGUCUUUUGAGUCGCUUUUGACGUCAAAAUGAAGUCUUUCGAGUCUUUUUCAUUGUAUAUAUAUUGGACUGCUAUUGAAAGCGUUAGUCGUGAUCGGACUACCGUGGCAAAAGGUUGCUUACAAUCACAAGCCUAAAUAUUAAAAUCCUUUCGUCACUGUAGCUAACAAUUUAAGCUUGCACUUUAAAAGGUUAGGAAAAAUUUUCUCAGAGUUUUACUUUAUGUAAAACAUAGAUUUAUAAGUUUCAUAUUAUAAGAGACUCUAAAGAUUAGACUACAAAUUAUAUACUGAAAAGUACACAAAAAGUCGGAAAGAUAAAGAUAUUUCAUAUUUUAUACAGAGACUCAACGACGCAGACUCGAGUCUUAAAGUCGCUAUUCAAAUAAGACAUCAAUAUAGUUUUUCUUCAAAGAAAGUUACAGUUAAAGUGAUUCUUAUAUUAUUUACUUGAAAUACCAAUAGUAUAGAAAUUAUUAUUAUUAACAUGUUUCCAACGAUUCUUUACAUAUUACGAAGUCGAAUCUUCACAAAAGUACAGUAAAAUCAGGAGUCGCAACUUAUACAUUUGAAAAGUCGACAUAGCUUAUAUAAUUAUAGAGAUUUCUAUAAUUACUUGUGAUUAAGAUAGUUUAUUUAAAUACAUGUGUAUAUAGUACUUGACCAGAGUUACUCACUAGCUUGCAUACUAUUUAAAAUGUUAUUUAUUGUAUGUUGAUCUCAUGUAAAAAGAUAUAGUUUGACUUAAUAUUGAAAUUGUCUGGAUCACAUAUCUAUAAUAGAUCAUAAUACUUCAUUAAAUCAUUAACUUUA